ACGUAGGGGGCAAGCGUUGUCCGGAUUUACUGGGUGUAAAGGGUGCUCAGGCGGGUUUGUAAGUCAGUGGUGAAAUCCCGGAGCUUAACUCCGGAACUGCCAUUGAUACUGCAAGUCUAGAGAUCGGGAGAGGUUGAUGGAAUAUCUGGUGUAGCGGUGAAAUGCGUAGAUAUCAGGUGGAAUACCAAUGGCGAAGGCAGCCACCUGGACGAAUACUGAGGCUAAAGUGCGAAAGUGUGGGGAGCAAACAG
RNAcentral lists this ribosomal RNA (251 nucleotides) under uncultured prokaryote. RNAcentral's name for it is "partial 16S rRNA". It matches the Rfam family "Bacterial small subunit ribosomal RNA", at positions 525 to 775 of the family's 1533-position model. The record is from RNAcentral.